GCCUGGCUGGCUCAGUUGGUAGAGUAUGAGACUCUUGAUCUCAGGGCUGUGAGUUUGAGCCCACAUAGGGCA
RNAcentral lists this transfer RNA (72 nucleotides) under Mustela putorius furo (domestic ferret). It matches the Rfam family "tRNA". From Rfam's summary of the family: Transfer RNA (tRNA) molecules are approximately 80 nucleotides in length. Their secondary structure includes four short double-helical elements and three loops (D, anti-codon, and T loops). RNAcentral also lists the same sequence under 2 other names. Lineage: Eukaryota; Metazoa; Chordata; Mammalia; Carnivora; Mustelidae. The record is from Rfam by way of RNAcentral.